UACGGAGGGUGCGAGCGUUGUCCGGAAUCACUGGGCGUAAAGGGCGCGUAGGCGGCGCGGGAAGUCCGUGGUGAAAGCCCGAGGCUCAACUUCGGGUCGGCCAUGGAUACUCCUGGGCUUGAGCACUGUAGAGGCAGGUGGAAUUCCGGGUGUAGCGGUGGAAUGCGUAGAGAUCCGGAAGAACACCGGUGGCGAAGGCGGUCUGCUGGGCCAAGACUGACGCUGAGGCGCGACAGCGUGGGGAGCAAACAGG
This 253-nucleotide ribosomal RNA is filed under the name uncultured bacterium. RNAcentral describes it as "partial 16S ribosomal RNA". It matches the Rfam family "Bacterial small subunit ribosomal RNA", at positions 524 to 776 of the family's 1533-position model. The record is from RNAcentral.